RNAcentral lists this long non-coding RNA (308 nucleotides) under Olea europaea (common olive). RNAcentral's name for it is "long non-coding RNA (OEUR_LNC000488)". Lineage: Eukaryota; Viridiplantae; Streptophyta; Magnoliopsida; Lamiales; Oleaceae. The record is from RNAcentral.
CCAAUGCUCAACUCGGAAUAGUCCUCCCAUAUGAAGAAAGGAGAUCAUGCGGUAGACCCUCCAAAUAAUACGUCUGGCCACCAUACGAAUACCUCUAUGCUUCGCAUCAUUCCUCUCAGUCCAUAGAAACCAAAAUAUCAGUAGAGGAAUGAUAAUACGAAUGUGCCCACGGCAAACGUGCUGUCCAGAAUACCGCCAUCUCUGGAACCUCUGUCUGACCCCCUCUCCUGAAGUCAUAGGUAUCUGAAAGAUGUCUCCAAAGUGCUGCCAUACCUGGUCGGAGAUGCUACUGCUCGUGAAAAUAUGAU